UAUAUUCAACAUAGGAAUAGAGGUCUGUCAAUUCCAGGCAUGAUCCUUGGACAAAAGGUUCAAGAUUACAAGCCGCUGAGAGAAGAUCUUCGCAAAUUACUUUAGUUUGAAACCUAUUUUCGUUGCCACCACAGCCUCCGUAUGAGAACUCCAGGCAUUCGUUUUGGUCUGGGUGAUAGGAAAACCAAUUGGAGUAGUGUGCGCAGG
This is a long non-coding RNA of Drosophila simulans, 207 nucleotides long. RefSeq lists it as uncharacterized. The record is from RefSeq and is a predicted model, not a curated record. The transcript has 2 exons. Lineage: Eukaryota; Metazoa; Arthropoda; Insecta; Diptera; Drosophilidae.